This is a non-coding RNA of Populus trichocarpa (black cottonwood), 128 nucleotides long. The record is from Rfam. Lineage: Eukaryota; Viridiplantae; Streptophyta; Magnoliopsida; Malpighiales; Salicaceae.
UAAUCCGUCUAUAACAAAUAUUUAUCUAAUUAUGACAGGCUCAGACCUAACUAUGUAGAAUCAUUCAUUAUCAUAACCCUAUCUACAACAGUAACACGAAAGAGGAAGGAUGUGUUUUGCAUUUGCCC